GGGAUGUUCAUAACCCUUUGUUGUCCGACUCUGUUGCCUCCGGGGCGACCCUGCCUUCGGGCGGGGGCUCCGGGUGGACACUUCAAACUCUUGCGUAACUUUGCAGUCUGAGUAAACUUAAUUAAUAAAUUAAAACUUUUAACAACGGAUCUCUUGGUUCUGGCAUCGAUGAAGAACGCAGCGAAAUGCGAUAAGUAAUGUGAAUUGCAGAAUUCAGUGAAUCAUCGAAUCUUUGAACGCACAUUGCGCCCCCUGGUAUUCCGGGGGGCAUGCCUGUUCGAGCGUCAUUUCACCACUCAAGCCUCGCUUGGUAUUGGGCAACGCGGUCCGCCGCGUGCCUCAAAUCGACCGGCUGGGUCUUCUGUCCCCUAAGCGUUGUGGAAACUAUUCGCUAAAGGGUGUUCGGGAGGCUACGCCGUAAAACAACCCCAUUUCUAAGGUUGACCUCGGAUCAGGUAGGGAUACCCGCUGAACUUAAGCAUAUCAA
This 487-nucleotide ribosomal RNA is filed under the name Cladosporium cladosporioides. RNAcentral's name for it is "eukaryotic LSU rRNA". The stretch from base 134 to 287 matches the Rfam family "5.8S ribosomal RNA". Lineage: Eukaryota; Fungi; Ascomycota; Dothideomycetes; Cladosporiales; Cladosporiaceae. The record is from RNAcentral.